This 96-nucleotide transfer RNA is filed under the name [Desulfovibrio] dechloracetivorans. RNAcentral's name for it is "Desulfovibrio dechloracetivorans tRNA-Ser". It matches the Rfam family "tRNA". Rfam says of the family: Transfer RNA (tRNA) molecules are approximately 80 nucleotides in length. Their secondary structure includes four short double-helical elements and three loops (D, anti-codon, and T loops). The record is from RNAcentral. Lineage: Bacteria; Pseudomonadati; Thermodesulfobacteriota; Desulfovibrionia; Desulfovibrionales; Desulfovibrionaceae. RNAcentral also lists the same sequence under 4 other names.
GGAGAGGUAGCGAAGUCCGGCCGUAACGCGCUCGACUCGAAAUCGAGUUGGCGGUGAGUAACCGUCACGUGGGUUCGAAUCCCACCCUCUCCGCCA